AAGAACUCACACUGGAGAGAAGCCCUUUAAAUGUAAAAUGUGUGGUAAAGCCUUCAUUUCUACCAUUUAUCUCGCAACACAUGGAAAAACUCACACUGGAGGGAAACCUUACGAAUGUAAAAAAUGUGGUAAAGCAUUUGCUUCUUCCAGUUAUCUUCGAAUACAUGAAAGAAUUCAUAAUGGAGAGAAACCCUAUGAAUGUAAAAAAUGCAGUAAAGUAUUUAUUUGUUCCAGUAAUCGAGUCCAUGAAAGAAGUUGCACUGGAGAGAAACCCUUUGAAUGUAAAAUCUGUGGUAAAGCCUUCAGUUAUAACAGUUUUCUUUCAAGGCAUGAAAGAAUUCAUACAAGAGAGAAACCCUAUGAAUUUAAAACAUGCAGUAGAGUAUUCACCUUUUCCAGUUCUCUUGAAAAACAUGAAAGAACUCAUACUGGAGAGAAAACGUCAUGAACGUCAGGAAAGUGAGAUAGGCUUUAUUUCUCAUGCAGACUUUUGAGGAUAUGCACAAAUGCACACGAGAGGAUAAACCAUGUAGACAUAAACAGAUUUUGUCAUCCCAGUUCUUCCUGAAGGCAUGAAAGGACUCACUUGAUAAAAAUGUCUUGAAUGUAAACAGCAUGAGAAAGACUUCAGUUGGCCUACAUCUUUCUGUGUGAAACUCCCACCAAAAAGAAAUGUAAAGUGCCCUCUUCCAGUGACCUGCAGGAUUACACUUGCAGUCAGAGAGGGGUGUAAGGAAUUCUAGUAAGAAUGACCACAGACCUGAAGGACCUUGAGGUGUAGCGGUAACGUUGCUCAAAGGACUUCUUACAAGAUUUUGACCUGGGUUUGUGGAUUUGACUGCAAUUCAAGGAGGCAGGUUAUUUUCUGUAUUCGUUGGUGUGAGGAGGUCAACUUAAUUCUACCUUUUGUAAACCUUUUUUUCGUGAACCAAAUCAUUGUUUUGUAGAACGGAAAAACAAUGUAGUGAAGGUAAGUUAAUUUUUAAGAAGUUCCAGUCAGUCAUUUUAGUAAGAAGAAGGAAAAGAAUGAUUUUUAGAAUUUGGACUUUUAUCCUUUAUCAUUUUUACCUCUAUGGUCACAAAAUACUGUUAGUUUUGUCUUGGAAACUGUACUUUCAAUGAACAAGCCAUCGGACACUUUUCUCUUCAGCAGGGUAAGACCUGGCCUUGCAGUGGAUGCAGCCAGCUCAUGGUCAACUGGAACAUCUUUGCUUUUCCUACUUACAGUCAAAACACCGAUGUAUGUCCUAUGGUGAAUUAGACCCUGUUUACUGUGAAGUACCUCGUUGAAAUACAUAAAUUCUCUCCUUAGUAUUCUACAUAAUAUUUUCACUAUGUCCUUUAGACUCAGCUGAGGCCUUUGAGUUUAGGUAAAUUGUGAGACAAUGCAAACCCAGCCGACAAAAUAGGACCGCUGUCCCACUCUGAAGCCUUUCCUUCUCCAAAACUCUGCUGUUCCUGGUACCGUCUCAGCGUCCCUCACAAGCCAUGCAGUGUGGAGUCUGUGUACACACUGUAGCAGAGCUGAGACACAGUAGGAUCUGGAUACAGAGCAUGAAACAGACAAGUCCUGGCAGUCCUGGUGCUUCUAUGUUUGUGGAAAAGCGGAAGUGGUCACAGUGAAGCUUUGUUUUAUAUAAUAGAAAUAAAGCCUUUGAAGAAAAGUAAAAAAUAGCAUUGAGCUAUUAGGCUGAGGUGUGUAUAUAUCUUUUCUAUGAGUGUAGGAGUGAGCGAGGAUGUCAUUAUUAUUGUUAUCUGGGACUUGAGACUUCCUAUUGAUCUAAGCCACAGAUGUUUGUAUUGUCUUUUGUUUUUAAUGUCAUUUGAGAGGAUUUUUAUAUUACCAUUAAAUAUUUAACAUGUUAUCAUUUUUGGCAUUUUCGUUUUGCUGCUCUACAGACUGGAGUGUGCGACAUGCACCCCAGUAAACCAUGGAGUUCCUCCCACUUAGAGAGACAGUAGCCUUCAUCUGCACUGUUCUGGCUCAUCCUGUGUGAAUUCUGUGAGUAGAGUGACAUCUCUGUGAGUCCACUGUGAUCUCCCCGUGGAAACACCACAAAGAGCUCUGGCUGGUUAGAGGCAACCAGCCAAGGAAUAAGUGACUGAGCUGGAGAGAGAGGGUGUCAUUGUGAGUGACAUCCUAAUUGAGUGUAAGAGGAGAAAUGGGAAAUUUUCAACAACUUUUCAUCACAGGAGUGGCUGGAAGUCUUUAAUUUCAAUGAUCCAGAAAGCCCCGGAGCCCAGGUAGCUGAUCACAGGUUUCAUUUCCGUAUGCUUAGACGUCCAGCAUAUGGUGUGGAAAAUUGUGAAACAGGAACAACAGCUUCAAGGUUUAAAACAGCGAAGGGAACAGAAUGUUUUCCUGUUUUUUUAGUAUGAACUUAUGAAUUGGAGGGGUUUCUUUCAAAUGGACACCAUAGGAUUGUUCUUUUGAGGUGAUGGAAUUUUUUGAUCUUUUGAUGGCAGUAUUCCUAACAUUUCUGAAAACUCAUGAGAGCACUUAAGUAUAUUUUAUAUAUGUUAUAUAGGUAAUUAUUAGAAAGUGAAUAGUGUACUUGCUUUCAUAUGCUGGAAGAAUGUCAAGGUCUCCUGUACCUGGAUUUUUACGUGUUCAAAUUUUCAACCACUGUGGGAUCCUUCUUAGGAAGAUUGCAGGACUGAGAAGAAGGACUGAGUCCUCAACAGGCUUUUCUUACACCCCUGUCUCAAUUUCAAAAAACACCUUCUAGGGUUGCGCCUGCUCUCAGCUCAUACUCAAAACUAGGAGUGAAGUGAGAGGGCUUCCAGACUCUGUCUUUGAGUUUAAGUCAGGUUCAUGGAGACGUCUUUGGAAAUACCAUGGUCUGAAACGUAAACGUGUAUCUCAAACAGAAUCUGCCUGGGGACAUCCUCAUUCAUGUGUGUCAGCAUCACAUCUCACUGCCAUCCACAGACCAUUUUCAGCUGCUCAUUCCCCAACCCAGGCCUACUCUGUGCCUGCUUACUUGGAACAUCUUUAGAAAUCCACAUGUGUCCCACUGUGCAUUUUCUCUGAGGCAAAAGGAGGGGGCUGUGAGCUGAGAGGGUGACACAAGCAAUGGUAGAAACCAUGUCAUGGGCAGAUUCUGUCAGCCACAGUGACAACCAUUUCAAAUUUAUCAGAUCUGCUUGCUUACUCAUUCACAGGAGACUUAAAAUGGACUGACUUUGAAUUGGGAAACGAAAGCUCUGGAAUCUUUGAUACAACAUUCCAUUAGUGUCCCCUCCCCACAGUCCUUCUCAAAGAUGCCUUAGCAGCCUCUCACUGAGCAACCAAGAGUCUCUAAACCCCCGUGGUGGACAUAAAUUACCCACGGCAUUCUUGUUACAGAACUAUUGUCUUCAUUGGGUGCUGCACACAAUUAGAGAAGCCACUGCUGUCAACUGACGGAGUCUUUAUGUAAAUGGAGUGCCUUCCAGGGCCUGAGUGGAUGAUGCUCCAAGCCAGCUUCCCAUUUUGCCUUGGGUCCUGAAUGCAGGACAUCCCAGGCUGUCUAAUCAGAAGCCUCCUCAUUGAAGAGAUGGGUAUUUACAGCAUGGAGCCAAACAUUGCUCCUCUGGAAUAUCCUAUGAACAAGUGAGAAGUGUUUUUGUUCUUGUCUGAUGUGAUCCAUUCUGAGGAGAUAAUUUCCAUUUUAGACACACUGGCCAUUUGGAGAGUCACUUAGGAGCACAUGGGUGACCAGGGUGUUCAUAAACUUUAUGGACAGUGUGCACCACCACACCCGACAGAGUCCACUGCAGAGAUGCUGCCUUCUGUCACUACAUGAGACAGGCCAUCCUUGAUCAAACAAUGGACUGAAGCCUCAGAGUGAUCAGUCAAACAGCAGUCAUGUUAGGAAAUAGAAAGUUUCUUAGCCCAAAAUCCAACCCGUCUGUACAUUUUUACAGAUCCUGGGCCGUUACCGAUAAUCUAGCUGUUGGUCCCACCAAUAGCACCAACCCCUUAUCCAAGGUUGCCCACUGUGUCUUAAAGAAUUCUGGGAAUAUCUUGCCUCGCAAAUAUCCAAGUACAAGUCUGGCCACUCCUUACUCUGCCCAUAUUAGACCUCAAUCUGCAGAGGCUGAUUUGUAUUGCUCAGGGUGAUAAACUGACUUGAAUUUCUGAGACACAUAUCAGCACCUCAGACCUGAUGGUAUUAACCUUGGCCUUGUUGUCCCACAUAACGUGAAACCACUUACAGACCUCUAUCUUAAGAAUCUAGGCCAAAUUCAAGCGAUUUCCCUCCUCUGCCAUGGUUAACCCAGUGAUGGACCAGUGAACCUGAUGUGAAAAAGCAAGUCACUGGUGAUAUCAGUGGACACACCUUCCAGGGUGAGGAAGGGGUCCCUACAGCUGAUGGCAAAUAGGCUUGGUAGGCCCAUCCCCCCCCCCUUGGGCUCCUUGCUGUGCUCAUACCAUGGUAGAACUUGAUAUGGACAAAUUACUCAUGCCGUCAUACAUUGCCCUGCUGAAGCCAAAAUGCAAGGACUUGCCAAGAUGCUCUAAAUUUAUUGAUAUUAUCAGCUCAAUCCUGAAAAGAGGAAACAUGGGGCUCUCGAAUAUGUUGUUCAGUGGACAUUUUCCCUCUUGUACCACCGCAGGCUACCCCCCUCCUAGGAUGGUCUAAUGGCCUCCUCAGGCCAAUUUGCUUUUUUCUCAGUGGGCCUUCCUGCUGUUGGAGGCAGUGAUUAGACUCAAUCCCAGUCUUCGGGGCUCAUUGCUUUGUUGUCAUCGUCCGGCUCAGUGGCAACUGAUAAAUAGAGGCCUUUCCCUGCUGGACAUUCCAGCCAGAACUGUCACUCCUGCAGGUCUCUGGUUUAUUGUAACAAUGCACCCUGGCCACCACUGUCGUAUCCCGCUGCCAGGUCUUCCCCUCACAUCGCCUGUGGUCUAUGUUCCCUGCGUGUCGAUACUUCAUUUGGGGCACCUCCUUCAAAACCCCUCUGGCUCAUCACAUACCGAUGUUCUGUUUUCCUACCAUUUACACUAACGUGCACAUUGUCAUGGGAGUCACUGCUACUGACCCGGGCACACAUGACGUCAUUCAACAAACAUCUUUCCUGACAAUCAAGAAAUGUCCAAAACAGUCAAAAUACAUGUAGCAGACAGCUAGUGUUUGAGAUGUUUCCCUGAAGGAAAACUCCCUGGCAGCCAUGGUAGCUGCUGACCAUUUGGCUUUAAAGUAUUUAUUACCCAUCUGGGGAGAGCUCUCUUCCUCUAAUAGGCCUGCCUGUGGUUUGUGGGUAGGAAGCUGACACCAGUAACACAACAAAUGAGACAACAGAUUAAAAUAAUAUCACUUAAAUAUUUGAACAGAGUUCUGGAAACAUACUUACACGUUUCUGGAUCCCUCCACACAUUUGGAUGACUUGAUUCAAAUGGUUUUUGGGGCUUUGUCAUCUUAAAUAUGUUUGCAGUUUUCACAUAGCUGUUUAAGUAGUAUUCAAAGCAAAUUUAUUUGAAUAGUGGCAUGAUUCAGUCAACCAACCUCAGGAGUGAACACUAAUAAAGACACUGACUUGAUUUUCCACAUUUGACUCUCAAUCAGCUGUAGACGCCUGCUCACCCUGUCAGGAUCAAGAUGGUAAACAAGUUAUGAAGGGUGACACGUGCCCGUUUGCUUUUUGUGUCUGCAGAUGGGAGGCUCAGACCUUUAAAAUGUGAAGCCUCUAAACCUACACAUCUUAAAUAGCCAGCCUGUGGUCCUUUGCACAAGCCACAUGAAAAAGCUUUCCCUUGGCCUAUUCUCUUUAGAAAGUAUUUUGGAGUAAUAAACUUUUGUAUGAACUUAUUGCAUGUGGCAACAUAGUCCUGACAUCUUCUCUGAAGGUAGAGUAUUAAUCCUGCCCCCAAAAUGGCAAUGAUGAAACAGAAGGUAACUCAUGGAAAAUGUCUUUCUCAUAAUGCACAGGAGCUCAGUGUAGGGAAUUCUUAGAAGCAGUAUAGGAAAAUGAAGCUAAAGUAUCAGCAGAAAAAGGACUAUUUUAUCUAUGAGACGUUUUAUACAAAUCUCAUGGUAAACACAAAACAAAAAUUUAGAGCAGAGGAACCAAGCAUUAAAAAAGAGGAAACUGAGAAAAACAUCAUUGGAAACCGCAAAGUAAAAUGGCAGACAGAAACACAAGGGAAAAGGAAAAAUGGAGAUAUAGACCAAUUAGAAAACAAAAGGCAGAAUGGCACUGGUAACUCCUCCCCGAUCAGUAAUCAACCUAAAUGUAAAUGGAUUGAAAUCACCAGUCAAAAGGCCCAGAGUGGCCGCAUGGAGUAAAAGACAUGACCCAACUCUCCACUGCCUCCAGGACACUCAGCUGAGCUCUAAAGACAAACACGGGCUCAAAACGAAGGGGCAGAAGAGGAGCCUCCAGGCAAAUGGCAGCCAAAAGAAAGGGGGUGUGGCCAUGCUGACAUCAGACAAAUAGACUCCAACCCCAAAACAGUAACAGCAGAGAUGGACGUUAUAUAGUGAUAAAGGGGCUAACCCAUCAGGAAGACAUAACAGUUAAUAAUAUAUGUGCACCCAACACGGGAACACUCAAAUAUAUACAGCACCCAUUAGCAGACCUCAAGGGAGAGAUUGACAGCAAUGCGAUGAUAGUAGGGGAUUUUAACUCCCCACAUACAUCAGUGGGUAGGUCACCCAGGCAGAAAGUCAACAAGCAAACAUUGGCCUUAAAUGAAACACAUUAACAGACACACUUCCUAGAUAUAUACAGACCGUUCCAUCCAAAGGCAGCAGAAUACCAUCCUCCUCAAAGUGCACGCAGAACAUUUGUGUUGGGACACAAAGCAAGUCUCAAAUUUAAGAAGACUGAAAUCACAGCAAGAAUCUGUUCUGACCACAAUGGUAUGAAACCAGAGGUCAACUACAGGAAGAAAGCUGGAGAAAUCACAAAUCUGUGGAGAGAAAACAACAGGCUGCUGAACAACUACUGAGUCAGUGUUGUCACAGAUGAAAUCUUGCCAUUUGUGACAACAUGGAUGGAUGUGGAGGGUGUUAUGCUAAGUGAAAUAAGUCCGAAGGAGAAAGAAAAAUGCCGUAUGUUUUCCUCAUGUGGAGUAUAAAGCAAAAACAAACUCAAGCCCUGUCACCCCAGCUGCCACUCCGAGGGCUUUCCUCCUGGAAAGGAGAGGACUUCAAAUUGUCAAAGCCUGCCCCCAUGGCCUGUUGCUGAAAGUGACCAAGUGCGGGGCGAAUUGGCUCGAAAAGUUGGGACACCGUUUCACUCCCUCCACAUGGAAAUGAGGUGACAUCUAUGGGGCGGUGACCUGACAAUCCUGGGGCACCGGUAACCCUGUCCCAGCUGCUGAGGUGGCUGGAACAUAAGUCAUCCAUGAGAUGCCAGGAGACACAAUGAAGAAGAACUCUGGCUGCUGUCUCUCCCCUCCCCUGAGCACUCAACUCCUGAAGUGGGAUUGUCACUCAGAAACUGGCUUCCCGUUGUCCUCCAGACAACUCCAGGGUCCUGGCACAGAGAUUUUUCCUGAAUGUGGGGGUGAAGCAAGCCAUCAAACACAUAGCUCUUCAUCCCUUUCCAAAGUAUUAAGAUGGCUGGCAGGAGAUCAUGAAAAGUGCAAGUGAAAGGACGCUCUCAAAGAAGUGGAGUUGAGGUAAAAGGCAACUAGGAGUAGAUUUGUGUAUUUCAUAAAGAUACAGGUUAGACUGUGGGCUGACUGGUUUUCUGGAAAGAACCAGAGAAUUAGACUGCUCGGAAUGGGCUUGCAGGGGUCGGAACAAAUAUGCAACAGUGACUUCAGGAAGUGUUUCUACUAAGGAGCAGACUGUUAUUGGACUAACUGGUAGAGCCAAUGAUGCCCCCAGGACCCUGAUGAAAACAGGAGAGCAAUCAGGCAGCAGUUAACUGAAUGGAACCACCGCGUGUGGCCCCUAAAGGAGGAAGAGAGCCCUGGCAAUACCACUGUCCCCCAGGACAGCAGUGGGCGCACCCAGAGCAGGGCCCACCUGAGGAGCUGGGGAAGAGGUUUCACUCUGUAUGGCGGCUGGUGAGAAACAACUUUUGUUCUGAGUUGCUGCCUCAGAGUGUUACAGUCUGAGGCCCCUGUUCACACCCAGAAUCUGAACAGUUAGAAAAGGACCUGAGUUUAGGAUUCUGCCCUAAGUUCCCGCUUUACUUUCCCAGGGCGCCUUUUAAAUUAAGCACUUAGAGUUCAGCCCGGGAAUAGUUAGUGACCUCAGCCACAACGCACUUCAAGGUACCGGGUGCUUGCUCCCUGCUCUCUGUCUCCUGCUCGCUCCUGACCUGGACAGAGGACGACCCUUCCCCCGGCUCACUGCACCCUCAGCCCCCGCUUCUGUGACCUGUGAGUAAUAAAUCCUGUGACUCUGUCCCUUUCGGUGGGUGCAUUGAAACUGCCCCUUCAAUCAAAAUGAGCCUGUGGGUUUCACUUCCCCACAGUGGGAGCUCGCAUGCUGAGGGAGCUCCCUGCUGACCCUGUGUGGGUGGCCUGUGCCCCGUCAUUCACCACGUCAUAAUCUGCCUAUCAAUUCAGUACACCAGCUCCAGCUCCUGCACACAAUUGGCCAUGGGGAUGGGGCUUUGGGCUGCUUGUAUGCACUCGAUGCCUUGGAGCUGUGAAGGACUUACUAACCUCCUCUCCUGGACCGCUCAGUCUCUCUGGGAGGAACUACCGCUUGCUGGGAUCUGCGGUGGGGAUUUCCACUGCUGCAUAAACUGCUGCCGGGUGAAGCCUCGGAUUCCCGCCCUACAGUGUCAGUGCUGUAGGUCAGAGCGCCCUGCAGAGACCGGCCUGCAGGCCUCAGUCUGAGAUACCCUAGGGGACACCACGAACUUGUCAGCACAGCGAGGACACUCCCAAAAGACGUGAGCCACCAGGGCAGAAGAUGCAGACAAAAGAAAGGAGGAAAUGGACUCUGCAGAAGAGACCCCCCAAGCUCUGGAGCCCACAGGGAUGAGGGGGAGACACGGUGGCUCUCCUGACUUGGACUUUUAUGGCUUGGCGCCAAGCCCAGCCUUCCAUCACGGUUGUCACAGCGAAGGCUCACUGUGCAUGGAACACCCUGCCUGACACGCACCUCCUGUUACAUCAAAUUGGAUGGUUCAAUGGGUGUAUCGUUCUGUUGAGAGCCAGGCCCCCACAGAGCCCCUGACCAUUUCCACCCCAGAGGAGACACCCUUGAGGCCAGCAUCUCAGGAGUACUUCUUAAAGGGGGUCUGCUAUUCUUAAGGCCAUGCUGUCACAAUUCAUAGAAAUGACAGCUACAGUACAACAGGCAGUAGACUGCAUCGAUGCUGUAGCUGGACACAGAACAGAGAACUUUCCAGAUCUUGUUUGCCAGUAAAGGUGAAUGGGCCCCACUGCCCCCUCCCCAGAAACACCACAGAGGGUCCCUGGGGAAUAUGGGGGCUUCCAGACUCCUUAUUGGUACCACAGAGGGGUGGCACCUUGUCCCAUCUGUCUCAUGAGAUGACCACCAGGUCUCCCUGCACUGGCAGCUAUGGAGAUCAUGGGUCCCGAAUGACCUAAUUUCAGGACAGCCCGGCCACGAGUUAGAAGCAUUUGCUCAGGCACUGCGGGCUCUGCAAGAUACUGCCGACCCCCCAACCCAAGGAUAGAUGCCGUCAACUCUCAGAAUGCCCCAGCCCUGGCAGCAGGAUCCGGGAUCCGUCCCCUGAUCUCUGACAGUGGCAGCAAUCGAGGCCCCUGUGCUAGGAACCUGGCCAUUCCCCAGAGAGUGUCUCUCACCUGCGGGACAAUCACCCGCAGACUUCUUUAAUUAUCUAUUGGGACACACGUAAGAAACAACCUUGUACUGCUCUCAUUGACCCUGGAGUGCCAGUUACAGUGCUUCCUGGGAACCCCUCCAAACCUAAGCCAGGGGCGCCCUUUUAAUUACCAGGGGUAACAGGUGGGACAGGAGACGGCAUUCAACUUCCAUUGGAUGUUACUGUCCAAACAAUCUGCAUGAAAAACCUUUGGGGUCGGCCCAGUGGCACAGCGGUUAGGUUCGCACAUUCUGCUUCAGUGGCCCAG
Equus caballus (horse) is the source of this 10012-nucleotide non-coding RNA. Lineage: Eukaryota; Metazoa; Chordata; Mammalia; Perissodactyla; Equidae. The record is from RefSeq and is a predicted model, not a curated record.